GCACACAAAAUAGCCGGCUGCCGAACAGCGCUCCGGCUCUUCAGACUAUGCACUGCGGGCGUCCCGCUACAACUAUUACGGCAUAAUACAGCACAGGAGAGAAAAGGCGGAUUGUAGUCUAACAGUAGCUGUUACAGUAAUAGUUGAGGGUAAGCCGCAGUAAUAGUUGAGGGUAAGCCGCAGUAAUAGUUGAGGGUAAGCCGCAGUAAUAGUUGUGGGUAAGCCACAGUAAUAGUUGAGGGUAACCCGCAGUAAUAGUUGCGGGUAAGCCGCAGUAAUAGUUGAGGGUAAGCCGCAGUACUGGUUGAGGGUAAACCGGCAGUGAUAGUUGUCAGUUAAGAACAGUUGUUUUCUUGUUUGCCAGUCGUAAUGGCAGAGUUGAGUAGUAGAGUUGAGUUGACAGUAGUGAAGACAGAUUGGUAGACGGAAUUGAUUGUGCCUUGAUAUGUUGUGAUUUAUUUACCACUUUUAACUGAAAUGCCAACAUGUUCUGUUCAUGAACAUUGAUUGGUAAGAGCUCAGGUACCUACUUUAGACAUCUGCUGAUUUUGUUGCCCUCAAUUUGAGACAAGGCCCUGAGGUUUUCAAUGUAGUUGAGGGCCAGAUGAUCAUUUCAUUUUGGUUGUCGUCAAGACAUUGUGCAGUUAUCAUUUUCUGUUGUUUUGCUUGGGCUUCACAAUGAGUGCUAGACUAACAUGAUCAGAUUGUACUUACUUCAUUCCCGUAGAACUAGAAGUACCAAUACUGACCACUUUAGGAGUAGAUACUAACUUGGGCACUCCAUUCCUCCAUCCCAUUUUCUGCCUAAUCUGCUCCCAACCUGAACUGAGUCACAAUGGACCACCAAAUGAAGUCGAGUAAAGGAAGGCCUCUCCAACCUACUGAGAAAGGAGCACAGUAUCAAGUGGAGGUUAAGAGGAAGACGUACAAAGGUCUGAAGUCACAUCUAGUCUCGACA
Amphibalanus amphitrite is the source of this 958-nucleotide long non-coding RNA. RefSeq lists it as uncharacterized. The transcript has 2 exons. The record is from RefSeq and is a predicted model, not a curated record. NCBI's taxonomy places the organism in Eukaryota, Metazoa, Arthropoda, Thecostraca, Balanomorpha, Balanidae.